This 1419-nucleotide ribosomal RNA is filed under the name uncultured prokaryote. Its description in RNAcentral is "partial 16S ribosomal RNA". It matches the Rfam family "Bacterial small subunit ribosomal RNA". The record is from RNAcentral.
ACACAUGCAAGUCGAACGGUAACAGCAGAGCUUGCUCUGGCUGACGAGUGGCGGACGGGUAAGUAACGGGUAGGAAUCUACCCAGUAGUGGGGGGCAACUUGGAGAAAUCCGGAUUAAUACCGCAUAAGCCCUACGGGGGAAAAGAGGCCUCUUCUUGAAAGCUUUCGCUAUUAGAUGAGCCUGCGUUAGAUUAGCUUGUUGGUAGGGUAAUGGCCUACCAAGGCGACGAUCUAUAGCUGGUCUGAGAGGAUGAUCAGCCACACUGGGACUGAGACACGGCCCAGACUCCUACGGGAGGCAGCAGUAGGGAGUAUUGGACAAUGGGCGCAAGCCUGAUCCAGCAAUGCCGCGUGUGUGAAGAAGGCCUGCGGGUUGUAAAGCACUUUCAAUUGGGAAGAAAGAUUUAGAGUUAAUACCUCUUAAUAUUGACGUUACCAAUAGAAGAAGCACCGGCUAACUCUGUGCCAGCAGCCGCGGUAAUACAGAGGGUGCGAGCGUUAAUCGGAAUUACUGGGCGUAAAGAGUACGUAGGUGGUUAGAUAAGUUGGAUGUGAAAGCCCUGGGCUCAACCUAGGAACUGCAUUCAAAACUGUCUAACUAGAGUAUGGUAGAGGGAAGUGGAAUUUCAGGUGUAGCGGUGAAAUGCGUAGAUAUCUGAAGGAACACCAGUGGCGAAGGCGACUUCCUGGACCAAUACUGACACUGAGGUGCGAAAGCGUGGGUAGCAAACGGGAUUAGAUACCCCGGUAGUCCACGCCGUAAACGAUGUCAACUAGUUGUUGGGAGAAUUUAUCUCUUAGUGACGCAGCUAACGUAUUAAGUUGACCGCCUGGGGAGUACGGUCGCAAGACUAAAACUCAAAGGAAUUGACGGGGGCCCGCACAAGCGGUGGAGCAUGUGGUUUAAUUCGAUGCAAUGCGAAGAACCUUACCUACCCUUGACAUACAGAGAACUUUCCAGAGAUGGAUUGGUGCCUUCGGGAGCUCUGAUACAGGUGCUGUAUGGCUGUCGUCAGCUCGUGUCGUGAGAUGUUGGGUUAAGUCCCGUAAUGAGCGCAACCCUUAUCCUUAGUUGCUACCAUUUAGUUGGGCACUCUAAGGAGACUGCCGGUGAUAAACCGGAGGAAGGUGGGGAUGACGUCAAGUCAUCAUGGCCCUUAUGGGCUGGGCUACACACGUGCUACAAUGGCAAGUACAGAGGGUCGCAAACUCGCGAGAGUAAGCUAAUCCCACAAAGCUUGUCUUAGUCCGGAUUGGAGUCUGCAACUCGACUCCAUGAAGUCGGAAUCGCUAGUAAUCGUAGAUCAGAAUGCUACGGUGAAUACGUUCCCGGGCCUUGUACACACCGCCCGUCACACCAUGGGAGUGGGUUGCAAAAUAAGUGGGUAGCUUAACAAUGGGGAAGUCGCUUACCACGGU